This 30539-nucleotide long non-coding RNA is filed under the name Gossypium barbadense (sea-island cotton). RNAcentral's name for it is "long non-coding RNA (GBAR_LNC000497)". The record is from RNAcentral. Lineage: Eukaryota; Viridiplantae; Streptophyta; Magnoliopsida; Malvales; Malvaceae.
CUGUUUUUAAGGUAGACUUUACCUAUUUCAUAAUUUCCAUGAUUCAACUAGCCCUUUAACAUACAUAGCACAAAAAUAUGAUCGUGAUUAACCAUUCCAAUGGCUAAUCAUUGCCAAGCAUUUCUACACCUCUCAAUAACCAUAUAUAUACAAAAUGAUUAUAACGCUAUGCUCAAAAUAUAUAAGCCAUUUUCGCAUGGCUAUCCAAAUAUAUACAAUACCAAAGUACUUGACUAACAACAAAAGGGCAGCCCUAUACAUGCCAUUAUCAGAGUUCAACUAAAAGAGUACCAAAAGGGCUUUGAUAGUGUGGGCGACUUCGACUUUGACACUCCCGAGUCCGAUAGCUGACGAACCAAAAUCUAUAAAACAGAGAAUCAAAGAAACGGAAUAAGCAUUUAAUGCUUAGUAAGUUUUGAGCAAUGAAAUUAGGCACAACUGAAGUAUAGCAUUCAUAUGACUAAACGGAUAAUUUCAUAUACACAUAUUCUCAAAUCAUACCUACUUCACAUUUCCAACCCUUAUAUUCAUACAUAAGGGAUCAACUUAACCAAAGGCCGGAAGCUUAUUAAUCGACUGAGCGAAUACUAUUUAAAAGGAAUCAACUAUUCCAAUGCAUAUACGAAACAUACCUCAUCGUUGGGAUUUUACGAGAGUAUUAAUUGAAAUUAUUACAGCAAAAUCGCUCAUUCCCAAACCAAGUACCUUCGGGAUUUAGCCGGAUAUAGCUUCUCGCUCAACUGCCUUCGGGACUUAGCCCGGAUAUAGUAACUGGCACAAAUACCUUCGGGACUUAGCCUGGAUAUAGUAACUCGCACAAAUGCCUUCGGGACUUAGCCCGGAUAUAGUAACUCACACAAAUGCCUUCGGGACUUAUCCCGGUUAUCAUCCGAAUAUUCAUGCACAUAUAUCAAUAAAUCAUAUCACAUCUAUAUUUCAUUUUCAUCACUAGAACUCAAACACAAGACACUUAUCAAUCAUUCCCAUUUUCGGCUCAAUAGCCACAUACAAAGAGCAUAAAUUGAUUUGCUUUAUGACAUGAUCUCUGUGCACAUUCGGCUACCCGUCAUAGGUAUAAACUAAUUAUCUCGACAUAUAAUUCAAGUAAAAUCAUUAUAUCAUUGUUUAUUUGUUAUGCUUAUACGUCAUAACUUAAUCAAAUCAUAAACUAAGUUCCAUUACUCAAAGACUUACCUCGGAUGUUGUCGAACGAUUUCGACGGCUAUUCGAUCACUUUUUCCUUCCCCUUAUCCAACUUUGAUCCUCUAGGCUCUUGAGCUAAAUCAAACAAUUUACUUCCCAAAUCAAACAUAGUCAUACGACAUCCAUAUACAUUUUAUACUAGCCGAAAUGUACCAUCAAGAUAUACUUUUACUCAAAUAAUUUACUUUGGCCGAACAUGUAUAAUGUUUUGUAGCUUAAUAAAUUUAACAUACACCAUGUAUUUAUAAUAUUUUUGCAGCCAACUAUCCAUAGUCAUGCACAUACACAAUCAAAAAUAAAUACCCAAAAUUUUCAUAUCCUUAUGCCCUAAGCCGAAUACACUUGUCAUGUUCACCUACAUUUUUUUUCAAGUACAACAUUCUCAUAUUCGGCAUUAGUAUCAAGCAUAAUAGCCAAUUCUUCCCACUUUGAAUCUAUGCAUCCAUUUAAUCAUAGUUUGUUCAAGCACUCAUACAACAAGACACAUCCAUAUGACUAAAAAUUCUAAGUUUAAACACAAUACAACAUUUUAGCACCAUGGCCGAAUACUUUAUGAAGUUGUUAAGACCCAUCCUUUUCAAAUUCUCACACACACUCACAUUCAAUCCUUUUUAUUAAGCACUCAAAUUCAAUCAUCUUCAUGCCUCAUCACCAUAACAUCAAACACCAACCAAGAAGACAACACCCAUGGCCGAGUAUCAUCUCCAUCACAUAGCAAAGAUUUAAACCAUGGGCUAGGUAGAACUCAAGCUAACAACUAAAAAUAUGCAUGAAUCUCAUGGAACAACAUCAAACAUACCUUAACGUAGUUACAAGCAUGGCCGAACCUCUUCAACCUUUCUUCCUUUCUUUCCUUUGAUUUUUCAGUGAAGAAGAACAAAACGAGAACUUUUUUUUUCUUUUAUCACCCCCUAAUUUCCAUUAUUUUAUUACUAACCCUUUUUUAUUUUAUUAUUUCUAACAUAAAGCAUUAACACAACAUGUUUAUAAUAGGUUUUAACCCAUAGCAUGGCCGACCACUAGUUCAAAUUUUGGGUAAUUUGACAUGCAAACCCAUCAUCUUUAUAACAUGCAUUAAUAGGCCACUUACAUUUGCCUGGCACAUUUCUAAAUUUUCUCACAUAAGUCCUAUUAACUAAAUUCACAUGCAAUCAACUAAAUCGAAGCUUAAAAGUUUCACACAUUCAUAUUCACAUAUUCUAGACAAUAAAUAUCACAUUCAAAUACUUCGGUGACUCGGUUUAGCGGUCCCGAAACCACUUCCCGACUAGGGUCAAUUUAGGGCUGUCACAUUCUAUGUUUUCUAGAUAGCUUUACUUAUCCAUUCAUUUAAUUAAAUUAAUUCAUGCUCAUGACAUCAUAUAAGGCCAAACAAACAUAGAUAUUUGCAUCACAAUCACAACUUUCAUUUCGUGCAUCAUCAUGUACAAAUCAUUACAAUCAUAUAAUUCAGUCCAACAAUUUAACAUAGAUAAGUUCAUUUCAUUAUAAUCAUUUAUCUCAUAAAAAAUUGUAUAUCAUUAACAUUUAUCAACAUUCAAAGUCCAAUCAAGACAAGGAUAUUUUCAUUCGUAUCAUGAUAUUAUGACCUUUAUUCAUACCUCUAAUACUUUCUAUUUAUUCUGUUCAUCUUAUCAAGUAAGCCACAUACACUACAUCGUAUGAGCAUUACGCAAAUAUGGAUAUUUAUCACAACAUGAACUUUCAUCUCACAUAUUAUCACAUAUGUAUCAUAAACUUUUAUUCAUACUUUUCUGAACCGAGACUUAUCAUAAUCAUAACUUUACUCAAAUACCUUCGCAUAACAUUGAACAUGGUCAGCGCAGCUCGGUUGGAGAGUACCCUGUCUAAAUAAGACGGUACUCAUACGCGUCGGAAGACAUCACACUAUCACAGAUCAGUGGCAUGUAUAGCUAAACUUUUACACAUGCUAGGUUAGUCCGAGAACCGACUAAACCUGCUCUGAUACCACUAAAUGUAACGCCCCCACGCCCAAAACCGUCGCCGGAGUCUAGCUUGAGGAGUUACCGAACAUAAUUUAUCAAAUUAAGAACUUCAAAUCUUUUGUUUCUACAUUCACAGCUUUCUAGCUACUCGCAUCACAGUUACAAGAAAAAUCAUAUCUCGGGUUUCGAAACUCGAAAUCCAAUUCCGUAAAUUUUUCCUGAAACUAGACUCAUAUAUAUAUCUAAUAAUUUUUUUCUUGAAUUUUUGGUCGGGCCAAUUAGUACAGUUUAUUAGUUAAAGUCUCCCCUAUUUCAGGGUUCGACUACUCUGACCUCUAUGUAUUACGAAUCAGAUAUCUCCCUCUACAGAGCUUCAAUGACUAUUCCGUUUGUAUAUAAUAAAACUAGACUCAAUAAAGAAUCUUUAAAUAUAAAGAAUGAAUUCUAAUUAUCUUUUUAAAAUUUAUGGUGAAUUUCCAAAGUCAGAACAGGGAAUCCAGAAAUCGCUCUGGCCCUAUUUCACAAAAAUUUAAACAUCUCAUAAAAUAUAGCUCAUAUACCUGUUUCGCUUCUUCCAUAUGAAAAUAGACUCAUCAAGCUUCGAUUCCAUAACUUAUUCAUUAUUUAAUUCCAUUUCUAAUAUUUUUAGUGAUUUUUCAAAUUCAUGUCACUACUACUGUGAAUCUAUUUUAUGGUAAAUUUUACCUAUUUCAUUGUUUCCAUGGAUUAGCUAGCAAUUUGACAUACAUAACACCAAAUAUGAUCAUGAUUAGCCAUUCCAAUGACUAAUCAUUACAAAGCAUUUCCAUACCACUCAAUAACCAUAUCAUAAGACCAUAUAUACAAAAUGAUUAUAAUGCUAUACAUGCCAUACUCAAAAUAUGCAAACCAUUAUGCCAAGAUGGUAUACGGAUAUAGUGUGAGCAUGCCUCCGACCGUUCCCGAUUUCCGAGUUGGCUUGUCAACACUACAAGGAAUGAAAAGGAGGAAGCAAGCAUAAAUGCUUAGUAAGCUCACAUGCAAAUAGGAAGUAACACAACUAUGUAAGCAAACAUAAAACAUCAUUUGCAUAAUCAUCACCGAGGCAUUCAUAUCACAUUUUCAUUUAUCAUCUUACCAUAUUGUUGUUAUAUCGAGUUUUCAACUCGAGGGUUAAGUACAUACCUGUUCAAAGUAUCCAUUUCACAACACUUACCAAUACGUCCCUUUCAUCUUGAGUAUUCCUCCAUUUGAGUAGAACUUUACCCGUUGAACACAUCAGAAUAUAAUUCGGAUACAUGGAAAGUUUGCACAUAAGUGCCACAUAUGUAGCCAAGCUACUAUGUAACCCGCCCAUAAGCGAACUCGGACUCAACUCAACGAGCUCAGACGUUCGCAUCCAUGAGUGAACUCGGACUCAACUCAACGAGUUCGGAUGCCUAGUUACAUCUCACGAACUCGGACUCAACUCAACGAGUUCGGACAUUUGCAUCCACAAGUGAACUCGGACUCAACUCAACGAGUUCGGAUGCUCAACCAUCCUAGUGACAUGUCACUUGUAUCCUAAUCCAUUCCUAAGGUUCAACGGGACCUUUUUCCCAAUCAUGUGUCUCAACCAUCUUCUACGGAAUGCCGAUACCGAUACUCGGUAGUAUUUCACAUUUUCCAAGUAUAUCACAUAAUUUGACAUAUUAACAAACAAUUAUCACAGUAUAAUAUUUCAUAAUAAUUAUCAUAUCAUUUAAAUAACAUUAAAAUAUUUAAAAUAAUAACUAUGUUACCAACAUUUACAAAUGAACUUACCUCGUAUGCGAAAAUGGCUACUUUUACCAUUUCGUCCACAACUUGGUAUUUUCCCCAUUUUAGCCUGAAUUUCAAUUUUCCUUGCUCUAUCAUUUAAAAUAUAGUCUAAUUAGGACUCACAUUAUUCAAAUUGACCCAAAAUCAUUUUUGGCAAAAUUACAGUUUUGCCCCUAAACUUUUGCAUAUUUACACUUUUGCCCCCAAAGCUCGUAAAUUAAAAUUCAGCCUAUUUUCUUAUGUUUUAUGACAUUCUAAUCAUUUUUCCCUUCUAUGGUAACAUCAAAUUCUCACUCUAACAUGUACUUAUGACUAUUAGGUAUUUUUACCGAUUAAGCCCUUUUAGCUCGUUUUCACUUAAAACCGAGUAAUACAAGUUGUCUAACAUAAUUUAAAACCUCAUAUUCUAUCAUAAAACACCAAAAUACACAAAUUUCACCUAUGGGUAUUUUUCCAAAUAUAAACCCUAAGUUGAAUUAUUUCUAGCAUAAGCUAAAUCGAGCUACUGGGACUUCAAAAACAUAAAAAUCAUUAAAAACGAGGCUAGAACGGACUUACAAUCGAGCUUGGAAGCUUGAAAAACCCUAGCCAUAGUUUCUCCUUGCUAUAUUCGGCCAUGGGGUUGAAGAUGAGCAAAAUUGGCUUUUAAUUUUGUAUUUUAAUUCAUUUUACCCCUAAAUGACCAAAAUGCCCUUACUACUAAACUUUCCAAAAAUUCCAUCCAUGCCAAAUUUUUGUCCAUAGACUUAGAAAUUGGUAAAAUUUCUAUUUAAGACCUCCUAAUUAAUAUUUCAAAACAAUUUCAUACUAGAAACUUCUUGAAUGCAAGUUUUACAAAUUAUUCGAUUUAGUCCCUAAUUUCAAUUUAAGCACUUUAUGCAUAAAAUUUCUUCACGAAAUUUUCACACAAUCAUGCAAUCAUAUCAUAGACCUUAAAAUAAUCAUAAAAUAAUUAUUUCUAUCUCAGAUUUUGUGGUCACGAAACCACUACUCCGACUAGGCCCAAAAUCAGGAUAUUACAAGAUUUUGCCGAAUUAGGGUGAAACCUAAUAAGGGGAUCCAUAGAUCGAGUUAGUGCAAUCCUAGAGUGUUAAUUAGAGAAAAGUCUCUGUUACUCAAUCUAGGGAUUAGACGUUAUUAGUCUUGAAUAGAGAUAAUAACAUAACUUAGGGAUCUCUAUGGAACAAGUUAAAUGAAUAAAUCAUCCGAUUCGGAGCCAGAAUAACAAGUAUAGUCUAGGUGGAUUUUUCCUUAGGUAUUGCCUUCAUUCAAUCGAUUUUCCCAAAAGCAUUUUCCCAAUUCUAUUCUCUUUGAGUUCUUAGUUUAGAUAAUUAGUUAGUUAAAACAAAAACCUAUUUAUUCUUAGGCUAGAUCAUAAAAAGACAAUCAUUACUAGUACUUUUAGUUCCUUCGGGUUCGAUAAUCUAGUCUUGCUAAAACUAUACUACUGUUCGAUAGGUACACUUUCCUACAUCGCGAUAAUAGUUGGUUUCAAGAACGAGUAAUUAUAAAUAUUUAAAACCUAUUAUGAAAUCAUGCAAUCAAAUACCAGUGCUAGGUCCAGCAACCCUCUCUAAAAUUCGCAACAUAGCUUUGGUCAGUUCAUCGUCCCCAACCACACGAUCGUGUGACCCAGUCUCAGUCAUAGGUGAAGCUGGUACAUCCCUAGCUUCAUCGUUAAGCAUAUGACCUGAUGCCGAAGACCUAGCCCGAGCUCCUCCAUGGCCUCCACUGCGGCCUCUUGUAUCCCUUCCACGAGUACCUCUGGUGCACAUUAUCAAAUUACGCUUUAUCUAUUUUAAUAGUUUUAUAUAUCAGUUUAUAGUUCCAGUGUUUAUUAAUACAUAUUUUAUGCAAAACAAUAUCAGUUGUUUAGAGUUUUGUUUCCGCAGAUCGUAGUUUCACUACAGUUUCAGUUUACCCUAAAUAGAAUAUUUCAGUUUAGAGAGGCCUUAUUACAUAAUUAAACUACUCAUAAUUUAAAAGAUAAAUACAGAAGCGUAUGCUGUUGUGUGGCCAACUUCGAGUCCCUCGCAGCACCGAUCCGCCUAAGGUUACCUACGUAGAUUAACAAAAGAGUGAGUUUACGAAAACUCAAUGUGUAAUCCCAUAUAAGCAAACAAUCAAAGUAAACCCAAUAUGGGCUUAAGCCCUUUUCAGAAUCAGUACCGUAUGCAAUCAAAAAAUCCUACCCAAUCCAGCCUCUACGCACCAUCUCCAUACCAACCCUGCACACCAUGUGUGGAUAAGAUCGACCUACCCAUCCCUACACACCAAGUAGCACUGGUUGUGUCAUUAUAACAGUAUUUGUAGCAGUGCUACCAGUAAUAGGCUUAUAGCCUUUCAGUACGCUUCCUCCAGUAUUAAAUAUCCCACCCCAUGCAAUGCAACAUAAUAUAAUUGUAAAUAUAGUAAAAAAUGGCCUGCUCAAAUAAUCAUACAUCACAUAGGGGUAUAUUAGUCAUUUACCUCAUAAGGGUAUAAUAAUUAUUUCAUCAAAUUGGGGUCUAGGUAUACUUAUCGACCUAACAGUAGGUCCACAGUCAUCUCGGGUGACCCGUGCAACCUUGACAAUCAAAUAGUGAAAACAGGCCCAAAGCCUAUAAUGCGGCCCAUGUGGGCCUAUAUGCCUGUGUCGAGCACGAAACCCAUAAAUGGCCUUAGUCGUGUGGACUACACAGCUUAGACUAAUAAUCACCACAUGUCUGUGUGUUUACCAGUGUAGGGCCCACGAGCUCGUGGGACCCACAUGGCCCAUUUCGGCCCAACAUGGCCCAAAAUGGCCUUAGCCCAUGAAAAUGCUCAUGGUAGCCUAUACGAUCAAAUGCCCACAUUUUAUGCGUUUGGAUUACCACACAAGCGAAUUCACGUUCGUGUAGUGUCAAUAGUCGUGUUUUUUGGCUUUUGCUGGUCUAUAGUUGGGCAGUGUUUACAAACUUGUUUGGAUUCUUGGUAUGAAUGAUCCCGGAAUGAUUCACCCUUCCACUGCUUCAAUCGAUGUAGCCUUACAAAUCUGUAGAUAAACUGAGUUCCAUAUGAUUGGAUGCUGCCAAAACAAUGCGGCAUGAUCACAUGUUAGGAACCUUAAAAUAUUACUAAAUAACACUCUACUUACACACUUGCAACAUUACUUUUGUCCUUACCGAAGUACCUAUCAACCAGAAGCAACUCGCAUUGGAUAGAACCAAUUUCUAGGAGGAGGAAAGUCGACAGAAGUGGGAGGAUAGCUAGACCAAAUAUUUGGCCAAGGAACAGAGGAACACUAGCAAGUUUUCCCCCUUUUAAGAGAAAAGCCGAAAGUAGAAGAUGGAAUGGGAAGAAGGUAAUCGGUUAAACAAUGCAAUAGGGACACUCGAUAAAAGCUGAAGGAACUGUGGGAGAGGAGAAAAGAAUGUUUAGCCACUGCCCAAAAGAAGAUGAUAAUGACGGCACAGAAUCAAUUGAGAGGGGAAUUAGUUAGGGUCACAAGAAUGAACACAUUCGGUAGUAUAGUAGAUGAGAAAGAAUAGGCUAACAGUAGAGAAAUGGUCGAAAGAUGAAACAACACCGAAAAGUAAGCAAGAGGAAAAAAUAUUCGAAUGGUCUUUUGCUAUGUUCGGUCCAAAGAAGAGAAUGAGUAGUCAGUCAAACCGAAAAAAUGACGAGAAGAAAACUAACCCUACACACCCUAACACUAACCAGUUUUUAGAGAACAAAAGAAAAAGAGCCAAAAAUUGUUAGAAACCCAAAAAUAAGUACAUUAACUUACCAAAGCUGAAAGCCUAGAGUGCUACAAUUCAAAUUCGGCACAAAUCUUCCACCAAAUUCGAAUCCCUCAAUUUCCUCCUAAAACCCCUCCUGCUCACAAACCUUAACAAUCGAUAAUUCCCCUUUUCACUCCCUAAAUUUGGCCAACAACAACCCCAUUCAAUAUCAUUCAAACUUUUUAGUGUUUCGGUCAAACAUAACUUCCUCCCAUUUCCACCAUUAAAAAUAAUCUCCAUUUGCACAAGCAGUGAUUUGAACCUCAGACCACAAGGACACUCUACAUGCCACUAUCCACUUGACCAGCAGGCCCAUUUUGUUAUGUUUUUACCAAAAUAAACUUAUAACCCUAUUAGUCAAAGAUAGGAGUUUUAUCCUUGAAAACAACAUUUUUGUGGAAGCCAAAACUUGAACCCAUGACUUCCCAGACGCUUCUAAAGCACACAACCACUAAGCCAGACAUAUAUUUAUGUCACUUUCUUGUACAACUAAAUAUUUAUGUGCAGUCUCCUAACUGCACCCACUCAAGACUUAAAACUUCUAGGCCCAAAAUCGGGGCGUUACAAUUCACCCCUCCUAAAAGAAAUUACAUCCUCGAAAUUUCCAACUAUCAGAUCAGUCGCAUAACACAGAUUACACCACUAGCUCCUGCUGCGCACUUUAAUUCCAAAACACUACCACAUUCAACCUGAGUGAUAGCACAAUCCAAAUCCACUUGUUGCUUAACCAACCGGUCCAUACCCAGUAUUAGGUUAACUUCUCCAAAAGGGAGUUUCAUCAAAUCCGCCAAGAAGAUAACUCCUUGGUCCGCCAAAGGUAAAUCUGCUACUAGUGGACUUAGUAACCUCACUCACGGUGCUUUCAACCAUUAACUUGGAGAUCUCAGGUACAAUACGUGUUAUAUAUAGGAAUGCAUAGAUCCAAUAUCAAUCAGUGCAGCAUAAGGUACAUUAUGGACAAAGAAUGUACCCGUAUUAACAUUUGGGGCGUCUCCGUCCUCUUGGUAACGUGCAGCAUAAACCAGUGCUGGCUGCCUUGCCUCAGUAUAACCAGGACAUUUGCCUUCCGUUCCACGACCACGGCCUAUACCUUUUCCACCCCUGGCCUGACCAUGGCCUCUCAGUGUCUGCUGAACACCUCUCGGUGGUUGAACAAUAUCCAUUCCAAUAGCCUGCAUCUGAUCGGGCCUCCGUGGACAAUCUCUGAUACGGUGCUCAAAAGAUCCACACCUAAAACAUGCUCCAAUCCUUCGCCAGUACUCGCCUUGAUGGUGCCUCCCACAAUCAACACAAGGCUGCAGUCCAGUAACAGCAACAGGGGCCUUAACUCUGACCAGCCCAUCAACUCUAGGCCCGGGGCAUUACUGUAAUAUUCUAAUUUUGGGCCUAGUCGAAAUAGUGGUUUCGUGACCACAAAAUCCGAGAUAUAAAUAAUUAUUUUAUGAUUAUUUUGAGGUCUAUGAUAUGAUUGCAUGAUUGUGUGAAAAUUUCGUGAAGAAAUUUUAUGCAUAAAGUGCUUAAAUUGAAAUUAGGGACUAAUCGAAUAUUUUGUAAAACUUGCAUUCUAGAAGUUUCUAGUAUCAAAUUGUUUUGAAAUAUUAAUUAGGAGGUCUUAAAUAGCAAUUUUACCAAUUUCUAAGUCUAUGGACAAAAAUUGGACAUGGAUGGAAUUUUUGGAAAGUUUAGUAGUAAGGGCAUUUUGGUCAUUUAGCAGUAAAAUGAAUUAAAAUACAAAAUUAAAAGCCAAUUUUGCUCAUCUUCAACCCCAUGGCUGAAUAUAGAAAGGAGAAACCAUGGCUAGGGUUUUUCAAGCUUCGAAGCUCAAUUGUAAGUCCAUUCUAGCCCCGUUUUUCAAGUUCUUUACGUUUUUGGAGUCCCGGUAGCUCGAUUAAGCUUAUGCUAGCAAUAAUUUAACCUAGGGUUUAUAUUUCGAAAAAUACCCAUAGGUGAAAUUUGUGUAUUUUUAUGUUUUAUGAUAGAAUAUGAGGUUUUAAAUUAUGUUAGACAACUUGUGCUAUUCGGUUUUAAGCGAAAACUAGCAAAAGGGCUUAAUCGGUAAAAAUACCUAAUAGUCAUAAGUACAUGUUAGAGUGAGAAUUUGAUAUUGCCAUAGAAGGGAAAAAUGAUCAGCAUGUCAUAAAACAUAAGAAAAUAUGCUGAAGUUUAAUUUACGAGCUUUGGGGCAAAAGUGUAAAUAUGCAAAAGUUUAGGGGAAAAUUGUAAUUUUUCCAAAAUAUGAUUUUGGGUCAAUUUGAAUAAUUUGAGUCCUAAUUAGACUAUAUUUUAAAUGAUAGAGCAAGGAAAACUAAAAUUCGGGCUAAAAUGGGGAAAAUACCAAGUUGUGGACGAAAUGGUAAAAGUAGCCAUUUUCGCAUACGAGGUAAGUUCAUGUGUAAAUAAUGUAGCAUAAUUGUUAUUUUUAAGUUAUUGAUGUUAAUUAUAUGAUAUGUUGAUUUUUUUAUCAUGAAAUAUUAUGCUUUGUGGUUAAUGUUGAGUAAUAUGCAAAUUAUGUUUACUACUUGAUAAAUAUGAAUUGCUACCGAGUAUCGGUUCCGAUAUUCCAUGGAAGACGACAAAUGUGAGAUCGAGGGAAAAAUCCCGUUUGAACCUUAGGAAUAGAUUAGGAUACAAGUGACAUGUCACUAGGAUGGUUGAGCAUCCGAACUCGUUGAGUUGAGUCCGAGUUCACUUAUGGAUCCGAAUGUCCGAACUCAUUGAGUUGAGUCCGAGUUCGAGAGACGUAACUAGGCAUCUGAGCUCGUUGAGUUGAGUCCGAGUUCACUUAUGGAUGCGAAUGCCCGAGCUCGUUGAGUUGAGUCCGAGUUCACUUAUGGGCGGGUUACAUGGUAGCUUGGCUACAUAUGUGGCACUUAUGUGCAAACUUUCCAUGUAUCCGAAUUAUAUUCCGAUGUGUUCAACGGGUAAAGUUCUACUCAAAUGGAGGAAUACUCAAGAUGAAAGGGAAGUAUUGGUAAGUGUUGUGAAAUGGAUACUUUGAACAAGUAUGUACUUAACCCUCGGGUUGAAAACUCGAUAUAACAACAAUAUGGUAAGAUGAUAAAUGAAAAUGUGAUAUGAAUGUCUUGGUGAUGAUUAUGCAAAUGAUGUUUUAUGUUUGCUUAUAUGGUUAUGUUACUUGCUAUUUGCAUGUGAACUUCCUAAGCAUUUAUGCUUACUCCCUCCUUUUCAUUCCUUGUAGUGUUGACAAGCCAGCUCGGAAAUCAGAAACGGUCGGAGGCACGCUCACACUAUCCGUAUACCAUCUUGGCAUAAUGGCUUGUAUAUUUUGAGUAUGGCAUGUAUAGCAUUAUAAUCAUUUUGUGUAUAUGGUCUUAUGAUAUGGUUAUUGAGUGGUAUGGAAAUGCUUUGUAAUGAUUAGCCAUAGGAAUGGCUAAUCAUGAUCAUAUUUGGUGUUAUGUAUGCUAAAUUGCUAGCUAAUCCAUGGAAACCAUGAAAUAGGUAAAAUUUACCAUAAAAUAGAUUCAGACAGCAGCAGUGACGUGAGUUUGAAAAAUCACUAAAAAUAGUAGAGAUACAAUUAGAUGAUGAAUAAUAUAUGGAAUUGAAGAAUUAUGAGUCUAUUUUCAUAUGGAUGGAACAAAACAGGUAUAUGAGUUAUAUUUUAUGAGAUGAUUUAAUUUUUGUAAAACAGGGGCAGUGCGAUUUCUGGAUCCCCUGUUAUGACUUUGGAAAUUCACCAUAAAUUUUUCAAAGAUAAUUAGAAGUCAUGAUUUAUAUGUACAGAUUCCUUAUUUAGUCUAGUUUUAUUAGAAAGAAACGGCAUAGUCAUUGAAACUUUGUACAAGGAGAUAUCUGAUUCGUAAUACACAGAGGUCAGAGCAGUCAAACUCUGAAACAGGGGAGACUUUAACUAAUAAACUGUACUAAUUUGCUUGACAAAAAAUUCUAUAAAAAAAUUAGUAAAUAGAUAUAUGAGUCUAGUCUCAGGGAAAAUUUACGGAAUUGGAUUUCGAGUUUUGUAACUCGAUAUAUGAAUUUUUAAGCUACUAUGACACAGAUUGUUAGCUUGACUGAAAAUUUUAAAAAUAAAUUGUUUGAGCUGUUUAAGUAAUGAAUUAAUUCUGUUAACACGUCGUGUUCGACUUCGGCGACAGUCUCGGGUACGGGGCAUUACAAUUACAUUUUUAUUCGUUAAAUUGUAUGUUUUAAAUAAAAGCCAAAACUUGGGUCAUUAAUGGUGAAAUUCAAGAUUUUGUACAAAAAUGAUGUUUCAAGGUGUUUUUCAAUUAUUUUUAACAUGAUUAAGAGGUUUCUAAACUUACUUUGAAAUUUCGUUAAAUAUUUCUUGAGUUUUAAUAAAUUUUUGAAAAAUAGCCAUAAAACAUGUUGAAAAAGUCAAUAUCAUGAAUUGAGUAGAUUUGUGUAGUUUAAAGGUUUAGAAUUAGUUAUGGAUGAAUAAUAAGAUGAAAAACAAAUUGGUUUUAGGCAAAAAGAUUGAGUAUAGACCGAGAUAUUCGGAUUUAAAGUUUGACAUGUUAAAGGUUUCGGUUACAUGAGAACAUAGCUUAGGCUUAUGUUUUUUAUGCUUGUAAUGAGUCAUUGGCUGAUUUUUGGAUGUAUUGUUGUCUGAAUUUGUGGUGUUGAAGUUCUAGAUUCUAUAGAACCUUCUACGAGUAGAGGUAAAGGCAAGAAAAAGCUAGUUUAAGCUUUCAGCUUUUUGGCGAAAGCGUAAUUGGUGAGUGUUUGAAAUAAUUUCUUGUGGACAUGAUUUGAUGCUUUAUUUUGGAAUUUAGUAGUAGCCUAAACCCCUACUUAAAAUUUCGAGUGUAACUUUUCUCAUACCUAUGUAAUCUUAUGAAUAAAGUAUUUAUAUGUUUGUGAAUAUGUGAUUUGAGAUGAGAUGCUAUAACAUUAGAUAUGUGGUUAUGAUAACCGUUGUGAAAGUGAAAAUGUGUACAUGUUAUGUAUAUGUUAAAUGUUAGCGACAAUGUUUUGCUAAAGAUAUAAAUAUGCAAUGAUUGUGCACGGAUAAUCGGUAAGUGAUCUGUGUUUCAUUUCGAAUAAUUUGGCCUUAUGAUUAUUGAAACCGUUGGAUAUAGUUGGCAUGCGAUAGGUGUAACGCCCCAAAAUUUAUAUUUUUGAUUCUGUUAAAAUGUGACACAAUUGGGUAUUUUCUUCACUAGUUAUGUGUUCUGGGUGUGUGAGAGAGGUCCCAAGUUCAAGCUCUAGCUUGGGAAAAUUUUGGUAUUUUUCUAAAUUAAGCAUUAAACUUGAUCAGUGGGCUUAUAUUUGAUUAUUUGUAAUUUUAUAUCAGAAUGGGCCUGCUGGUCUGGUGGUUAAGUGGAGUGUUGGAGUGUUGGAGGUCUUGUGUUCGAUUCUCUGUGUUGGUAAGGGAUAGUAUUAUUUUUUUGUCUAGGCUAUAGUUGUACUGUGGUUGGACUCUGAGUAGUGGGGUGUUGGAUGGAGAAAAGUAAAGGGAGUUGGGAUAGGUGGGCUAUUAGAAUUGUUCUGUCAAUUUUCUCUUUUUGAAAAACUCUAUUCUCUUCCCCCCUCUCUUUGGCAAAAUUCCAUCUCCCCCCCCUUUCUUUUUAUUGUGGUUUUACUCAAGUUCACCUCUUUUGUUGUGCUUCGCGUAAUCUUGGUCGUUCAGUAAGUUUGGCUUCUGAUUGAUCUUAAUGGUUUCUUCUAAAUAUUAGUUAAAGAGGGGUUGGCUGGUUUGUAGGUGUUAAUCGAAGGGCUGAUUAUCUUUCAUUGGCGUUCUAAGGGCGUGGAAUUCCCGUUCGUUGCAAGAAGGUAAUGCCUUUUUUCGCUCGAGAGAUGAAUAUCCCAUUUCGAGUUUAGUUUAAUCAGUUUGAUUAAAUGAUAAACUGAGUGAAAUUCAUAAAUUAUAGGUUCUUGAGUGCUCGGGGACAGGUUUAGCAUCAAUUGAAGCCUCGUACAGGAAAUGAGGUUUCAAAGAAAUUCAAAAAGCUCACUGUCGAUGCCACACGGGCAUGUGAUCGCCCAUGUGAUAGGCCGUGUGCCAUAACACGAGUGUGUGAUCAAUGAGGCUAGGCCGUACGCACUAGACACGACCAUGUAAUGGCCAGGUAGGCCGUGUGCGACACACGGGCUUGACCUAUUUGUGCCAUGUGGGCCACACAAGCGUGGGAGCCCACAUAGGUAAGCCACAUUGGCGUUUGGGCCCACACGGGCAGGCAACAUGGGCGUGUGAGCUCAUUUUCAUUGAUUAGUUUCCAAGGUUGCACGGGUCGCCUAAGAUAACUCUGAACCUACUAUAGGGUCGGUCAGCUUACCUAAACCCCUAAUUGAAUGAAAUGACUGUAUGACUGAUUUAUAUGUAUACAUGUUAUCGAACAUGAUGAUGUUUCACCGAACUAAUAUAGUAUGUACUGUUACCAUGUUAUAGCAUGUUUUAACCGUAUAUUGCAUUUCAUUGGGUUGAGGGUUGAUAUUGUUCGGAGGAAGUGUAAUGAAAGGCAUCGAGCCUAAUUUACUGGUAGCUCAACUGCAAAUUUAUUUGUCUAGUGCUGCACACGGUAGUUCUUAGAGUGUAGGGAUGGGUGGGUUGAUUAUAUCCCCACAUGGAGUGUGGGGUUGGAUGUAAAUGGUGUGUAGAGGCUGGCUGGGUAGGAUUUUGUGAUUGCAUAUCUGUUACUGCUACUGAUACGUUGAUGGGCCAAGGCCCAAUUGUAUGACUUAUUCUGUAUUGAGAUGGGCUAAGGCCAAACUAAAAACCGAUAUUGUUACUAAAAGGGCUUAGGCCCAAACUAUGAUCAUGUGCAUACUGUCUGUUUGUUUAUAUGGAAUUACACACUCAGUUUACGUAAACUCGGCCCUUUCAGUUUAAUCUGUACAAGUAAUCCCCAAACUUGAUGGAUCAGUGUAGUAGAGGACUCGAUGGUGGCCACACGACCCCUUUGAUACUAUUUCGUAUGUAUUUAUGAUAUAAAAUUUUAUUUGGGUAUUUUAUUGUAAAUUUGGCCUCUAUAGAUUUUUAAUUUAGUUUGAGAUUUUUAUCGGUUAUGGUUUAUAACUUUAGUAUUAAGAUAACCCAAGUUUUCAAAAGAAACAAACAUUUUAACAAAAUACUCACAAAUACACAAACUGUUUUCAAAACUUCCGCAUUGAAUAAACGUUUUGAAGACUUUUGAUUGAUUAAAUAACACGAUUUUAAAAUUAACAUGUAAUAAUAAAAGGUUUCUAAAUGGAAAUUGUUUUAAGAAAAGUUACAGUUUCCUAACACAUUACCAUGUGACAUCGCCUGAUCCGGCCAUAGCGUCCAGGCUGGGUUUGGGGUGUUAUAAUAGGAUUGUGAGUACUCACCUAUGUGUACAGUGAUUUUGAGUGUUGAGGUACUAAGACAUGUUGAAGGGAUAAGGGAAUGUGAGCUAAGCUCCAUUCAACGAGACACAUGAGGGGAAAUAAGAAGAGUGUUUGACUCUAUAAGUUUAUCUCUAGUGUGUUGGAGAUACGUGUAUCCGAUAAACGAUGAUAGAGCUCAUUUUUAUGUUUCAUAGCCUAAUUGCCAAAUUAUCUUAACUUAAGAAUAUGUGUCUAUUGUGAUAUGUCUUUAUAUGACAUAUGACCCUUGUAAUUUAUCUAUAAACCUGUUUUUGAGUAUUACAAUAUAAGUUCGAAUGUUAUGCGAUUACAUGAGUAUUGUGAUAUGUGCUUGCAGUUUAUGUAAUUAUCUGUGUAAUAGGAUAUCUGCUUAAAAGUGCAUAUGUUUACCAUGUAAAAGAACUAGUAAUAAUGCACAAGUAAGUCUAAUAUGAUGUUGGGUUAUGUUAUAUAGUUGUUUCAUUGAUGUUUGAUGAGUUGUUUGCAAUGGGGAUAUUUUGAGAUUCACUGAGCUUGCUAAGCUCACCCACUCCUUUUGCAUAUUAGUAGGGAGCUGGUUUGAGUGGUGUGGUUCCAAGGGGUGAUCCAAGCAAGUCCAUUUUCGUGAUUUCAUAGGUUUUAUUAUUUGUUUAUGUUUUGGGAAUAUGGCAAUAUGGUAGACUUAUUUAUAGCCAUGUGAACCUUUAGACAUUUUGCUGGUUUUAAGUUUGGUUUAUAAGGAUUACAUCCUAUUAUUUUGCUUGAGUUCAUGAACAUGACGAUGGGUUGACGUUACUUUCUCUAACACGAUUUUCUAAUAUUAAACUACUAAAUAGGUCAUUGAAUUAUUAUUCGUCGAAGUAAUUGAUGUAAGAUGUUUAGAAACUAAAUUGGAAUGGAAAAUUGCUUAUAUAUUUUCACUUUUUUAGGUCUGGAGUACAGAUAUCGAUAAUCAGAUUUUAAAAUUGAUACCUCUAUGUUUUAAAACUUACAAGAAUUAGAAUAAAGAACUGGUAUCGAUACCUUUGCUCAAGUAUCGAUACUCGGGGUUAAAUAUUGAUAUUUCAUGAUAGGUGCUGAUAAUUUUUGAGACUUUGGCUAUUAAUUGAGAAACAGAAUGCAAGUUUGGUAUCUUUUUUACAAGUUUUGGAAAUUUUAUUAUAUGGACCUUAUGCAUGUUUUAUUAUUAUAAGACUACUUGAUGUAUGGGUAGCAUGUAACAUUGAUAAAUAACAAGUAUAAUUGACUUAAAACCCAUACGAACACUAAAAUGGAAGAUGCUUUGUUUAGAAUGAACUUUUACUGAUUGUAUAUGACAUGAGAUAGUGGUGUGGCAUCCCACAUUUGGGCUUGGUGACUAGGCUGGGUAUAGGGUGUUUUUAACACCCCAAACUUGGUCCAAACGUUAUGGCCGAAUCUUGUGCGUCACAUUGAAGUGUUUUAGUGAAAACCUUGUUUUCAUUGAAAACCCUUCCUUAAAAUGAGAAACCUUAAUUAACUUAUAAAAACUCUCUUUCAAUCGUGAAAGCUUGUUUAAAACAUAUAAUUUAUGAAAGCCUAUCAUUUUAAAAUUUAGUUGCGGAAACGUAAAGAAACAAUCUACGGUUUACGAAACCCAUGUUCACCUUUUCAUAAUUAUAACGCAUAAAGAUAACAAUCCGAAUAAUAAUAAAAGGGAAGGCCUUAUUACAUUCCAGUCUGAAAUUACUUAAUAAGCUAGAAACUAUAUGCUUUCUUUAAAAAAAAACAAGUCCAAGUCAUCUUGCUAGCUGGCCACCUCCGAGUCCCACCAAACAUCGAACCUCCUACUGAGCAUCACCUAAGAAAAAUAAAAGAGGGGGUGAGUUUUUGAAAACUUAGUGUGUACAACCCUCGACGAGUAAUAAGCAUUCAUCAAUCCAUAAAAUCAUACAUGCAAUGCAAUGUAGUGCAACUUACCCUAAUAAUCCAACCAUUACACAUCAACUCCGUCGCCCGAUACACAUCAUGUGGGAUAUAAAUAUCGACCUCCCAUCCGAUACACAUCAAUGGUACCCAUCCAACCUACUAUCACAUAAUUAACACUUGAUUAGGAAUGUUAAGCACAAUUUUUAUCAAAACUGAAAAACAAAAAAAAAAGAAAGUUCGGGAUUUCAGGAUUUUUGGGGCGUUACAACUUUACCCCCUAAAAGCAAUUCCAUCCUCGAAAUUCCCAACUAUUAGUACAGCUGCAUAGCAUAGACUUCCACACCAUGCUCCUGCUGCGCACUCUAAUUCCAAACUAAAUAAAUAGCAUAUUAUGGUUCACGAACAUACCAAUAUUUGCCUCUGGAGCAUCUCCGUCCCCUCGACGACUUGCUCUAUAGACCAACGCUGGCUGUCUCGCCUCAGCAUGACCAGCACCUCUGCCCGAUGCUCCACGGCCCAAAGCGUUUCCACCCCUAGCCUGACCAUGGCCUCUAGGCGACUGCUAACCACCCCUCAAUGGCUGUACAUCACCUCUACCCAUGCCUGGCACCUGAACUGGCAUCCUAAGGCAAUUCCUGAUCCUAUGCUCCAUAGAUCCACAAGCCAGACAAGCUCCCGUCCUCUUCCAACACUCGCCUACAUGACCUUCCCCGCAAUCAGCACAAGGUGGCACCCUUGGAUUCAUAGCAGGGGGCCCUGCUCUAACCAGCCCAUUAUCUCUGGCCCUAGCCCUAGGCUUCUAAUCCAACACUAGGAGUCUCAGCCUCCAUUUUAUUCCUACCCUUUUAUUUUUCUCGAUUUAAGCGCCCAGUGUGCUUCACCUCCUCUGCUAUCUUUGCUUUCUCUACCAACUCUGAGAAGACUCGCUCCCUUUGUGGAGCUAUCAAUACUCUAAGGCUAUCCCUAAGUCCAUCCUCAAAUCUAACGCAACACUCAUACUCCAUUACCACCAUAACUCUUGCAUACCUAUUAAGGCAUAAAAAUUCUGCCUCAUAUUCCGCCAUAAAUUUGUUUCCCUGGGUCAAGCUCAGGAACUCCUUCCUUCUAGUAUCCACAUAACUCGCACCUACAUACUUCCCUUAGAACGCAGUUUUGAAGAACUCCCAAGUGGCCUGCUGAUGUUGGGUGCCCUCUUUCACUGUCAGCCACCACUGGUAAACUUAUUCCCUAAGCAGUGACACUACCCCUUUCAGCUUUUGUUCAACCUUUCGGUGGCCUCCAACUAGUAUUCUGCCACAUUAGGAGCCACACCAGCCACGCCUUUAAAGAUCUCAGCCCCAUAUGAUCGAAGUUGCUCCGGAAUGGACCCAAUUUUCCAUACCAUUAUUGGGCCCUGCAACCUUUUCCAAAAUCCUCAGCAUUACCUGCGAUAAUGCAUCUUCCCCUGCGGCCCGAUCAUACGGCCCAGUCCUAGCUACGGUGGCCAGAGCCUCUUCUACUCCAACAUCAGGCAUAUGGCCUGAUGCCGACAAUUCAGCCCUAACACUUCCGCGACCUCAGCCACGACCUCUUGCACCUCUUCUAGCACUCAUCGUUGUCUCACGUAUUAUCUGGAUUAGAAAUUUUUAUGAAUUUUUAGUUAGUUUUAAUAAUUAAACCGAUGUUUUAUGAAAGUAUUAAAAGAAGGUUGUUUUUGUAAAUCUUCUAUAGUUCCAAGGUCCUACGAGCUUUAGUUUCAAAAAGAAAAAAACCUUAGCAUAAUCAUCUAAAGUAGACAACUAACCACCUACAGUAUAUCAAAUUACACAAGCUUAAGAAUAAAUUAACUUACUUGGUUCGAUGUCAGAGACUCGAUGUGCCGCAUAGCAAGUAAUGUUUUUCUCCCAAAACCUUGUGAUCCGAUUUUUUUUAAAACAAAACCAAAAUGAUAAGGCCCACUUCACAGCCUGAGUUUUGCAACUUGGGCUCUGAUACCACUAAAUAUAACAUCCCAAACCUGACCCAGAUGUUAUGGCCGAAUCUGGCGCAUCAUAUUGAAGUGUUUUAAUGAAAAUCUUGUUUUCAUUGAAAACCUUUCCUUAAAAUGAGAAACCUUAAUUAACUUAUAAAAACCCUCUUUCAAUCAUGAAAGCUUGUUUAAAACAUAUGAUUUAUGAAAGACUGUCAUUUUAAAAUUUAGUUGCGAAAACUUAGAAAAAUAAUCUACGAUUUGGGAAACCUAUGUUCACUUUCUCAUAAUUAGAACGCAUAAAGAUAACAAUCCAAAUAAUAAUAAAAGGGAACGCCUUAUUACAUUAUAGUCUGAAAUUACUUAAUAAGUUUAAAACUAUAUGCUUUCUUUAAAAAAAAAAAAACAAGUCCAAGUCGUCUUGCUAGCUGGCCACCUCCGAGUCCCUCCAAACAUCGAACGUUCUACUGAGCAUCACCUGAGAAAAAUAAAAGAGGGGGUGAGUUUUCAAAAACUCAGUGUGUACAACCCUGGAUGAGUGAUAAGCAUUCAUCAAUCCAUAAAAUCAUACAUGCAAUGCAAUGCAGUGCAACCCACCCCAAUAAUCCAACCGUUACACAUCAACUCCAUCCCCCUAUACACAUUAUGUGGGGAUAUAAAUAUCGACCCACCCAUCUGAUACACAUCAAUGGUUGCCUGAUUGCGGAACUACUUUCAUUGCAGCAAGCUGCCAAUCACAUAUUCGGCUUAAAAGCUGUCGGUGGACCCACGGUUGUCAAGCAACCAUGCGAUCCUCAUAUACUUUCUCCAUUCCAUAAUUUCCAACCCAUAUGCAACCUAUACAGAAUAUUGUAUGUUUGCAGGAGAUAUACAUGUAACAUCCAUAAAUUUUACAUUCAACACAUAUGGGUAUUUUGGUCAUUUUCGCCCUUAGAGGCAUUUUGGUAAUUUCUCUUUAUUAGGUUUAUUACUUACCUUGGCUCGUUAACAAGUCCUAGUUGGCUAAAGUGAAUAGAUACUAUGCACCAGAUAGGAUUCCAGAGAAGAGGAGGUGAGUCAUUAAGACCGCUUAAGUACCAAGCUCUCCUUAAAUCAAAUCCGAGACAUGCAUAUACCCAUUACCACACCUUAACCUUAUGACUCGUCCACGGUCGCAAUUAAUUAAUUAAGUUUUAUGUCAAUUAAACAGUUAUCAUAUACUAGGCCUAGAACCCCUUUCAGGGCCCAAGCAAGUCUGCAUACAUGCAUAUGGCCCAUUAGGCCCAAUCUCAUUCAUAUGGCCCAUUAGGCCCAAAUCACAUUCGUAUACAUGCUUUCAUAUAAUUUCCAUCAUUUAACAUCAAGUUGCCAAUUUUGCCUAUUAUGGGCCCAACAGCCCAUCAGGCCCACUUAGCCCAUCCUGGGCCGGUUGGCCAAAACACGACCCAAGUUCAUGGAAUCGCCCAUGGGGCCUAAGAUAACCUAUCGGUUUCCCCCUAAUGAGUGUUUACACACACGCAAGACUACCGUAGCCAAACUUUCGGCUUUUCGACAUUUUGGCAUUUUGACUUUUCGGCAUUUCGGGAUUUGCCGAUCUACUUGUGUGUGUGCAGUGUAUGUACACACCUGGUAAUAAAGCGUGUCGUAAUCCCCCAUACCACGAACCUACAAUCGAUAUCACUCAAUGAUUACUCACAUAUACUUAUCGAAUACUUACCGAAAGCCGAAGUCUCACCUUAACCUCACCCGAAACGCCAAGCCUUAUUAGCUUUUCUUUGAUCACUAAUCAUGAGUGCUACCCAGACCUGCAUUAACCUUUAUCGUUAAAAACAUAAUGGGUGACUUGUAUCCAGCAUAUGCCACCCUUUUCUACUAAAGCCUAUCCGACCAACCUUUACUGAAGUGAAGAACACUUACCAAUAUCUCACACCUAAGGAGCGAAUCGGUAGGGAUCCAAAAGACUGGGAUUCGAUACUAACCCUACCAAAACCAAUUAGAAGAAGUGAGGGAUAGAGUGAUCUAUACUAGCAAAACCAAAUUGAGAGAGAAAAACACUUACACUAGAAUCGGUCGAAGUAGAAAGAGUAGUGGUGGCACAGAGGAUAUUUGGCUCUUGAGACUUGAAUGGUGAAAAAGGUUAUUCAACACAAAGAAAAGUAGAAAUCAUUUAAAACUAGAGGUGAAUCAAAAAGAAAACUUUGAGCAGGGAAGAAUGGAGAACUGACACAAAGAAAAUGAAGGAAGAAUAAUGGAUUUUCGGCUUUUAGAUCUUUGGAGAAAAAUGUGUUUUCUAGCAACAAGGUGAGGGAGAAUUCGGCAUUAGCUUAGCAACCUCACAUUUGGCAUCUAUAUAUAGCCUCUAGCUGAAAUUCCUAUCCCUAAUCCCCAAUUCGGCUCACCUCUUUACACUCCUCAUCCCCUAAUUUUUCUCCCUGAUAACUCCCUAAUCCCCUCCUCAAAUUUCUCCUCUUAUUACUCUCUACAGCGUUCAUAUCCAACGCCACCACUGUCCAUCCCUUAAGCAAAAAUAAAUCCUUCUUUUCAGCAAGGAGGGAUUCGAACCCUGGACCUCCUUGUCAUGCAUGUGACAGCACUUGCCACUCCACCACAAGGCUUUCUUGUGUCCAACUCUUCCUUCAUUUAUUUAAAAGCCAACCUACUUGCCAACAAGGUUCUUUUAAUAAUUAAACCAUAAUUUCCUUCACCCCUAAGUUCGAACUCAAACCUUACCCAAGGCCUACUAUCACAUAAUUAGCACUUGACUAGGAAUGUUAAGCACAAUUUUUAUAAAAACUGAAAAAAAAGUUCGGGAAUUUGGGAUUUUUGGGGCGUUACAGUGUUACACUUCAAGAGUGAUUCUUAUUUAAAUUGUGACAUGAUUGAGUACUCAGUAAUUUAGUGUUUUGCUCCAUUGUGUUUAUCGUGUCAAAGAAUUUUGUGACCUACUAAAUCCUUCAAAUUAGUUCAAAAAAAAAACAAACAAAUAAACAAGAAAAAAAUGAAUAAUAUAUAUACAUUUUAAGUAGCCUUAGAGCAACUUGAGUUUAGGUAACAAAUGAACUAAGUGAAUUAGGAGAUGUUUGCUUUGGACAAAAAGUACACAUGAGCACUUCGAAAAUUUUGUUUUUAGAUGAAAUUUUCUACACUACCUUUGUUGAGCAAACCUUUUACACUUGAACAAGUUUUGGAGAAGAAGAUUACUAAAAACUUAUGUAUAUAUUGUUCUUUGAGUAGAAUUGCAUAUCAAGGUGGUUAUGUGCGAUGGAAAGGUCUUGCAUAUAUGCAUUCAUGCAUAUCUUGCUUGAGGACAAGCAAUAACUCAAGUUUUGGGGUGUAUUUUAUGCCUCUAGACUUGGUUAAUUUCCUGUACUUAGGUAAGUUUAGUUGCAUUUUAGGAUUUUCCGUUAGUGUUUUUAGGAAAUUGUAUUAAAAGGCUUCGAUUAUGCUUAAAUGUUAUAACAUGUUACUUCUAAUUGUUGCCGGGAAGGAUUUAUUUCUUAAGUGGCAGGUGUAGAAUAAGUAAAAAAAGUAAAGCAGUGAGAGGUUUGUCGUGGUGAAAGGUUGGACAGUUUGCUAACACGAAUGUAGUGGCAAUUUCAAGAGGAGGCCCAGUCAACACUUAACUAUUAUUAGCCUUGUUUUACGUGUAUAAGAAAAAUCAGCCCAAAAAAAUAGAAAAUAUCAUGGGAUGAUGCGUCACCCUAAAGCAGGAGAUAUAAAAUCCAAAAAUAAAAACUGAAAAGAGGAGUAGAUGGUUGAAGAGUCAUUUUUGGAAGGGGAAACCCCUUAAACAAGAAUAGAAGGUAGCGGUUAUGAAAAGGACAGAAACACAAGGGGUAAGACGAAGGCAAUCCUUUCUAGUCACCAGAAGACAUUUCGUAGCUAGAGUUGUGGGUUGGACAGGCGAAAGCUAUCUUCUUGAGUUCUACCUUUAAUUCUUUAUUUUAUGCUUCGUAAUAUAAUUUAAGAAAAUGAUGUUGAUUACUAAUUUGAAUCUGGAUUCUAUUCACCAACCCAUUAGCUAAAUCUCAUAGGGUUGGGAUUACUUAAUGAAACUUUUAUUUCCAUUAUUGGCCAUGGUUUAGAUUAGUUUUAAUUUAUUGUUUCAUUCAAUGGUAAUUAUGAAUAGUGUACGUUUAAUCUCUAGACAUAAGUGAAUAUGGAGCACAAUUGUAAAAUUAAUCUAAUUCUGACAAGGUUAGGUUAGUUAGAUCAAAAUUGAAUGAUAUGAGUAAGUGCUCAACAGAAUACUCGUAGUAGACUCUAAACAUAGAGUAGCGCUCUGUACGAAAAAGAGAAGAACAUCAGUAGGAACCAAACUCAAAGCCUAUAGACAUAUCAUGCCCUAAGUGAGGUAACUCAAGGCCUAGCUCUCGAAAGAAGCAGACCACAGUAGAACUAUUCCAAGCAGUAGAAUAAGACUGAACUUGUUUAGGCAUUAUUGGUUAAUGAGGGUAGAGUCUUGGUAAUCUCAGCCAUACGAUUCAACAUUGUUGAUCCUUUAACCUUUGCUAUAGCAUCUUUAUUUUCACAUCCUUAGUUUUUACUUGUUUACAUAUUAUUCACGUAACCAUUCACAUAAUUGCCAUUAGAUAUUUACUCUUGUUUUGCCAUAGCUUUUUUAUUUAUUUGUUAGAAUUUCACAAAUUACACACAUCAAUGUUCCUUAAUUAUCUCUGCAUUCUUAUUCUUGGUUUUAUCAUAGCAUUAAACACACUCCUUUAUAAUAACUUGACUAAUUUAUACAUAACUGAUCCCUGCGGAGAUGAUCUUACUUAUCACUUUAUUACUUGAUCCGACGUGUAUACUUGCACAAUUCGCAUAACACAUUCACAUGUGACAAUAGUACCAUUUGAAAACCAUAAAUACUUCACUCAAAUUUCAUUAGAAUCAUAGGUUCUUGAUCAUGGGUUUAGGUACAAAAUACAUUCUUCAAAAUGGAAAUUUCUUGACACCACCCCAUGUCAUUCAUAAAACAAAAUAUAAGAAGUGUUGAUUCAAAAAAUAAUUAUUAAAUCAAUUACCCAAAAUAAUUAUUAGUCUCAUUAAGUCAUGAAUUAGUAGUGUUGAUUCAAAAUAAAAGAAAGAUAAUAGUUAAAUUAAACUAAAAACUACAACUAGGUUAAGUUAUUGGAUAUUCAUAGCCAUAUCACUCGUUCAUUCAUUUUCGUUUGUCAUGGUUUGCCAUAAAACUUGCGCUACCAGAGGCUACACGACCAUUUUCGUGUGUCGUGAUCUAUUAGUUCAAUGCUCAUUUCAUCAAAGGCAACUCCAUGAAUUCAUUUUCAUGUUUCAGAGCACAUUGUUCAUUCCAAAAACAAGGGGUAGUGACUUAAUCAUGAAGAAAUGUUCUUACAUCUUUCACACAGACAGACUAAACAAGACUAAUAACAACUAGCAUUCAUCACUCUUGCACAAAUAUUUCAUCUCCACCGAAUAUAUAUACUUACCUUAAAUCAAACAUAAAUAAAGGCAUUAUACACACAUGGAAUAAGAAGGAACUCACCAGAAAACAUACCAAGAUUAAGCUGCAGGACCUUUACCCUGAUAACGAGAACCUUCAGGGGUGCCUUAAGCUAUAAUAUAAAUAGUUGAACUUAACAUAUCACUGUACCAAAAAACUAAGCAAACUUACAAGAAACAUCAUCACAAAACCCAGAUUCAGGAAGUUUCCUUCCUUAUACUCAAAAUUGACGCUAAAGCAUGCAGUUCAAAGGUCACUUAAAUAACUAUGAAAUAACCUAAGGUUCAUAGAUAUUUACCAGGUACUAAAAUAGUGAAGGAGUUGGCUGAAUAUAACGAAACCAAAUCUUCAAGCAGGCUUCUGGUCUAACAUUUUUCUAAGAGAAAAGUCUCGAGAAUGUUUGAGAAGAAAAUAUGGGUUCAAGAGAAAAUGUAAAACUUGCUCAAGAAGUCAAUACUAGCUUUUAACAACUAUACACGAAAGCUGGGUUUAGUGGAUAAGUCUGAUUAUCCCACUAAACCCCUCGAUUCCUGUGACUAAGUAGUUUCUCUAUCAUCAUAAAUGUGAGUCUUCUCGAUGGCAGUAACUUAGUUCUAUCCUAACCAAUUCUUAUUUGCAUAACUAAAUUGUUCAACCGGAGUAAUAAUAUAAUAAUAAAAUAAUAAAUAGUUCUUCAACUAAAGACUUAACUUAAUUGUCUAACAACUGGGGUGGCGUAUACUCUACAAGGGAGUCCGCCAAACCAUCAAGCUCACCCAACAGAGACUUCGCCUAAAGGUACACUCACGGACUUAAAUACUUAAUCAAAAUUAAUACCUUACCCACUUAGAUCUCGCUCUGAAAAUCAUACUUUGAUUAAAAGUGUUUGACCACUAGCACUUCAUCGAGCAGUAUGUUACAGCGCUCAAAUCUGGUGCCCCGUACAAGAUGGCGCCAUCAGAGCUGAAGGAGCUAAAGAAAUAGCUACAUGAUUGUCACACUAAGUCACUUGGAUUAUAUAUUAGUCUUAAUGCUAAUGGGAGAUUGUUAGAGUAUGCCCAAAGACCAAUCAUGAGAUUAUUGUAAUCACAUACUAGUUUUACCUUAUUUGUUAAUAUAAGGCAUGAGCGUUACUAUUUUAGUCUCUCUUUUUUGUGUGUAUAAAUAAACUGGUUAAUAAUAAAGUCCUGAGAAUCAUAUAAUUAUUCUUAAAAGGUCCUUACUCAAGUAUUAUUGUGGGCUUGGAAAAUGAUAAUACAUUGAGACUAAUGCAUAGUUGACUGAUGAAAAAUUGUUGUCAUUGAUAUAGAGAUGUCAAAAUCGAUACAUAAGUAUGUCUUAGAGAACAACAUACUAGAUUGAUCUGCUAUGAGUAUGUUUCUUGGAUUAUUACGUAAUAGUCACAAUGUAACAUUCCGAAUUAAGGUCUAGUCAAAAUAGUGGUUUUGAGACCACAAAUCAAACGUAAGAAAAUUCAUUUUUAUUAUAUUUAUAUGGUCUACAAUUUCACUGUAUGAUUUCGUGAGAAUCUCAUUCGAAAAUUUUGAUGUUUGGGCACUCAAUUUAGUAAAAAGGACUAAAUUGUAAAAGUGCAAAAGUUGAGUUCUACAUGUUAGAGGUGUUUGAUUGUUAUGAAAUUUUAAAUUGGAGGUCUUUAAGUGGUAAUUAUACCAUUGGUUAAUUGCUGGACAAAAAUAGACAUGAAAUGGGUGAAAUAGAAUAUUUUUAAGUUAGGGACAUUUUGGUAAUCUAAUAAGUAAAAGAAAUAAACAGGAAAAAUAAACCAAAUUUGUCCAUCUUCUUCUUGUCUAGCUGAAUCAACCAUGGAAGCCAUGGCUAGGGUUUGGCACAAGCUUUCAAGCUCAUUUGUAAGUGAUUUCGAGCCCCGUUUUUAAUGUUCUUUACAUUUUUGAAGUCUUGGUAACCCGAUUUACCUAUUUCUACCAUUAUUUUGAGCUAGGGUUCAUGUUCAAAAAUUUAUCCGUGAGUUAUAUGCAUGUGUCUUGACGUCUAAUGGUGGAAAUGAAUGUUGAGUGAUAAAUAAAUAACUUUUGCUAAGUGAUUUUAGGUGAAAAUGCUUAAAUGGAUCGUUUUGUAAAAGUUAUAAAAUCUAUCAUAAAAGUGUGAUUUAGUGGGAAUUGGGGGCUGCUAUAGUUAUGGAAAUGAUUCAGAUAGGCUUAAAAUGCAAGGAAAUUGAAUAAAAAUCAUUUUACGAGCCUAGGGGCCAAAGUUUAAAUAAGUGAAAGUUUAGGGGUAAAAAUGCAAAUUUGUAAAAGUAUGAUUUUUGGGUCAAUUUGAAUAAUGUGAAUAAUAGAUGAGCUAUAUUUUAAAUGCUAGAUCAAGAAAACCAAGAUUCGGGCUUAAAUUGGGAAAGUUCGAGAUUAUGGACUAAAUUGGAAUAGUUGGCCGUAAUUGCCUUUGAGGUAAGUUCAUGUGACAAUAAUAAUGCAAUGUUAUACUUGAAUUGUAAUGUUAAAUUACAGUUACAUAAGUUGUAUGAAUUGCUACACGGUUGUGCCGACAAGGAUUCGACAAUUAAGUUCGUGUAACUCGAAUGUAUACUUUUUAAUACUUGAAAAUGUAUGCUCUUUGAUGUUAUAUGAAUGAAAUGAUGAAAAGAGGACCAAAAGUCCCGGUUGAAUGAAAAGGAUGUCUGAUGGAUUUCCUUAAAAAGGAAUUGACGGUAAAAAGGAUCUUGCCCAGACGGGUGUUCCUUAUGUGAUCUAGCCUCCCGAAGAAUAUGUGUUUAAAUGGAUUUAGUCUGGACACGUAAUCCAAACUAGGAUCCAAAUCUAUCCUGGACUGGUAAUUCAGAUCCAAGCUCAUUAGAGUAAUUGUCGUUGCAGGGGAUUUAGCUUGGACUGGUAAUCCCGCUGUAAGAAUUGAGGUUCGUGGGAGUGCGCUUGUUGAAAAGGUCACUAAUAUGAAUUGAAGAUAAAUGAGUUGUUGCACUGUAAGUGUACUAUGGAAUACCCAUCGAGAAUCCGAGGACAAUUCAACGGGACAAAUAUGAGAAAUGGAAUUGGAAUAGUUGUAUUGAUGAGAUCAUCUGAGAUCUUUAUUAUCAUGUAUUGUUAUGUGACUAACUUUCAUGAUUAAGUAUGCCAUGAGAAUUAACGACGUUUAUGUCAAGCUCUAUUGUGUAAUCAUGUAUGAAAUCCAUGAAAUGCUUAGUUCAUGGUUAGUUGAAAAUGAUCUUAUGAUAGUGAUCAUUAUAUUACACUAAAAUAGUGUUGCACAGUAGCAGUAGUAUGAAUUUGAAAAUCCACCAAAAAUUGUGGAAAUCAAAUUAGAGAUUGAAUUAAAUAUUUAAUUAAACCUUAUUGAAACUAGUUUCACAUACAGGAAACAUUUCAAGCAAAAGAGUUUCAUAUUAUGAGAUAUUUGAACUUUUGUGAGACAGAGUCAGGUGAUUUUGGGCUCCCCCGUCUCAAAUUUGGAAAAUCACUAAAAAUUGUACAAAAAUUAUUAUGGGUUGUAAUUUAUAUGACUAAAUUAUUAAUGAAUAUAAUUUUAAGAGUAAUGAUAGGAACAUCAUCUAAAUCCUAUACUAAGAGAUAGUUGAUUUUUAGUAAAGAAAGGUCGAAGCUGUCAAAUAAUAGAACAGGGGAAACUUUAAAGAAUAAAGUGUACUUAUUUGCUAGAUAAAAAGUUUUGAAAAUUUUAUGGUAAGAAGAUAUGUUUGUCUAGUUUCAGGGAAAAUUAGCAGAUUUUGAUUUGGAGUCUCGUAGAUCUAUAUAUAAAUAAUUUAGUAACUAUGACUCGAGAAAAUAGCAUGACCAGAAUAUAAGUAAAAGUGUAAUUAUGGCUAUAUUACCUUGAGGAGCUAUUGCUUAUUAUUUUCAUAUGGACUUACUAAGCUUUAAGCUUACUCCCUCCUCUCAAUUUCUUUAGUGUUGUCAGGUCGACUCGGGGUUAGAGAUCGUCGGAGGCAGCAUCACACUGUCAAGGCAUCACCUAUGGAGUAUUGACAUAUGUGUACUAAACACCUUCAAGUGAGUGGCAUGUAUAGGGACUUAGUUUUUAUGAUAGAUGUUGUUAUGAUUAGCCAAAUGUAUUGGUUUAUGUUGAUUCAUUGUAUAUAGCCAUGGGAUGUGGCUUAUAAUGUUUUGGCUUAUAAGCCUAAUAAUCCUUACUAUUUGUUAAUGUUUUACGAUGUGAUUAUAAUUGUUUACUAUGAAUGAAUAGUAUAACAUAUCAGCAUGAGAAUGCCUUAAUACCAUUCAGAGUGGUCGUGGCUAUGGAAUAAAUGCGUAAAUUGGCAUUAAGUUGAUAAUGAUUGAACAUAGACAUUUGUUGAAUAAGUAGAGAUUAAUUAUUGGGUAAUAUGUUAUGGUUGAUUGUUAAAAACUUGCCUUAGAAAGGCAUGCUAAAUCAUUAAAAUGAUGUUAUGAUAUGUGUCUUUAAAGUUGUAACACCCCGUACCCGAGACCGUUGCCGGAGUCGGACACGAGGGGUUCACAGACUAAAUUCGCUUACUAUCGCAGUCCAUUUUAAAAAUUUCCAGGCAGUUGGCUAACUGCAUCACUGUCACCUUAAAAAUCAUAUCUUGAGUUUCACAACUCGAAAAUCAGUUUCGUAAUUUUUCCCUGAAACUAGACUCAUAUGCCCAUCUACAUAUUUUUUUCUAGAAUUUUUGGUCAGGCCAAUUAGUAUAGUUUAUUCGUUAAAUUCUCCCCUGUUACAGGGUGUGACUACACUGACCUUCAUGCAUUACGAUUUGAAAAUCUCCAUGGACAGAGCUUCAAUACUGAUGCCGUUUGUUUCUAUAGAAACUAGACUCAGAGUGGAAUCUAUAAAUAUAUGGCAUGACUCCUAAUUAUCUCUGGUUAAUUUAUAAUGAAUUUCCAAAGUCGGAAUAGGGAAUCCAGAAACCGUUCUGGCCCUAUCUCACGAGAACCUGAAUAUCUCUUAACAGACUGUUCAUAUGAUCGUUUCGUUACUUUCCUAUGAAAAUAGAUUCAUCAAGGUUCUCUUACAUAAUUUAUUAACUAUUUAAUUCCAUUCCUACUAUUUUUAGUGAUUUUUCACAUCCACAUCACUGCUGCUGCCAGCAUCUGUUUUUUUUUAAGGUAAACUUUACCUAUUUCAUGAUCCUCCAUGGAUCAACUAGAGUUUGUUAUACAUAUUCCAAAAGUGAUCAAGAAUAACCCUUCCCAUGGCUAACCGUUACCAACAUUUCCAUACCUCUCGACGGACAACAUAAAAAACGAUUAUAAUGCUAUGAUCAAAGUAUAUUUAAGCCAUUUUCGCAUGGCUAUCCAAAUUUACACAAAACCGAAGGGUACAUGACCAACAACAAAAGGGUAGUCCUAUACAUGCCAUUU